Molecule: RNA transcript, 3456 nt
Organism: Medicago truncatula (barrel medic)
Lineage: Eukaryota; Viridiplantae; Streptophyta; Magnoliopsida; Fabales; Fabaceae
Exons: 8
Source: RefSeq, a predicted model, not a curated record
GAAUUAUUAUGUUUUCUGUUCACAAUCCAAACAUAGUUCUUCAAUACCCUGAAACCCAUCUCUGAGUUUAUUGGUCUUAAGCUUAAACAAAAAAUACCUUUGCUCAUUGUCUUUAAGAAUUAAUCUCUUACUAUUUCUGUUUUAUUAAUUUUUCUUUCAGUUUUUUGCUAUUUUCCCAUUCCUACUGCAAAAACCAAAAAAAAAAAAAAAACAAAACUCAAAAAUAGUGAACGAAAGUUAUCUUACAUAUAUUCUCUGCAUUUUAAUUUGUUAUCACUCUGUUCAUUUCAAAGAUUGGAGUUUCUUCAACAAGUGAUCAUUUAGUUUUUUCAUUUCGAAGCCAAUUUGCAUCAGUCUUCACAAUCCAGUAGCUUUGUCAUUUCAAAGCCAAUUUGCAUCGAUCUGCAUAAUCCAGCAGAUCAUUCAGUUUCAAAGGUUAUCUCCUAUAUUCUGUUCGUUUCAAAGGUUGGAGUUUCUUCCUUCCAAAAAAAAAAAAGUUGGAGUUUCUUGAACAAGUAGAUUUUGACUCAAGUCACAAGGAAGAGCAGAAGAAAAAAAAAAUCAAUGGAAAUUUUAAUUUCUAUUGUUGGAAAAAUAGCAGAAUAUACCGUUGUGCCUAUUGGACGUCAAGCAAGUUACUUGAUAUUCUACAAAGGUUACUUCAAGACGUUAAAGGAUCAUGUUGAAGACCUUGAGGCUGCAAGAGAAAGAAUGAUCCAUUCAGUUAAAAGUGAAAGGGAAAAUGGUAAAGAAAUUGAAAAAGAUGUUAUGAAUUGGUUGGAGAAAGUGGAUGGGGUCAUUAAAGAGGCGAAUCAACUUCAAAACGAUUCUCACAAUGCAAAUGUUAGGUGCUCACCAUGGUCAUUCCCAAAUUUAAUUUUGCGUCAUCAACUAAGUAGGAAUGCCACAAAAAUUGCAAAUAAUGUUGUUGAAGUUCAAGGGAAAGAAAAGUUUAAUUCAUUUGGUCACCUUCCUCCUCUAGAUGUAGUAGCCUCCUCCUCAACAAGAGAUGGUGAAAUGUAUGACACAAGGGAGUCUCUAAAGAAGGACAUUGUGAAGGCUUUAGGAGAUUCUACUUCAUGCAACAUUGGGAUCUAUGGGUUGGGUGGGGUUGGGAAGACCACUCUGGUGGAGAAAGUUACUCAAAUAGCCAAGGAACAUAAUUUGUUCGAUAAAGUGGUUAAGGCAGAAGUAUCGAAAAAAUCAGACAUUAGAAGAAUUCAAGGGGAGAUUGCAGAUUUCUUGGGUCUUCGAUUUGAAGAGGAGAGUAUUCCCGGCAGAGCAGAACGCCUUAGACAAAGAAUCAAGAUGGAGAGAAGUGUCCUUAUCAUUCUUGAUAACAUAUGGACCAUAGUCGAUUUGAAAGAAGUGGGGAUACCAGUUGGUAAUGAACAUAAUGGUUGCAAAUUGAUGCUCAAACUUGGUAAUGAACAUAGUGUUUGAGAAGCUGGAAAGAUAUAAAAUAGCUAUUGGAGAUGUAUGGGACUGGUCUGACAUCAAGGAUGGAACCUUAAAAACAUUGAUGCUCAAACUUGGUACAAACAUACAUUUGGAGCAUGGAAUUAAAGCAUUGAUUGAAGAUGUUGAGAAUUUGUAUUUGGAUGAUGUAGAUGGAAUUCAAAAUGUGCUUCCUAACCUAAAUAGAGAAGGAUUUACAUUGCUGAAACAUCUCCACGUCCAAAAUAAUACUAACUUGAAUCACAUUGUUGACAAUAAAGAGAGAAAUCAAAUCCAUAUGUCCUUUCCCAUCUUGGAAACACUAGUACUUCUUAAUCUUAGAAACUUGGAGCAUAUAUGUCAUGGUCAACCUUCAGUUGCUUCUUUUGGAAGUCUCAGUGUUAUCAAAGUAAAAAAUUGCGUCCAGUUAAAGUAUCUUUUCUCCUUUACAAUGGUUAAAGGACUUUCUCACCUUUGUACGAUUGAAGUUUGUGAUUGCAAUUCUAUGAAGGAGAUAGUGUUCAGAGACAACAAUUCAAGUGCUAAUAAUGAUAUCACUGAUGAAAAAAUCGAGUUUCUUCAAUUGCGUUCUUUGACUUUAGAACAUUUGGAAACACUUGAUAAUUUCUUCUCAUAUUAUUUGACACAUUCAAGAAGUAAGCAAAAGUGUCAUGCUUUAGAGCCGAAUGUUUCUGCACCAUUUUUCAAUUCUCAGGUUGCAUUUCCUAUUUUGGAUACCCUUAAAUUGAGCUCACUUCUCAAUUUGAAUAAAGUUUGGGAUGACAAUCAUCAAUCUAUGUGCAACUUGACUAGCUUGAUUGUGGAUAAUUGCAAUGGAUUGAAGUAUUUAUUCUCUUCUUCGUUUGUUGAAAGUUUUAUGAACCUCAAACACCUUGAAAUAACUAAUUGUCCUAUGAUGGAGGAGAUAAUAGCUGAAGAAGAUAGAAAUAAUGCAGUGGAAGAGGUUCAUCUUUUAAAAUUAGAGAAAAUCAUAUUGAAGGAUAUGGACAACUUGAAGACAAUAUGGCAUCACCAAUUUGAAACAUUGAAGAUGUUGGAAGUGAACAAUUGUAAGAAAAUAGUUGUGGUUUUUCCUUCUUCAACGCAAAACACGUAUAAUGAGCUUGAGAAGUUGGAAGUUAGAAAUUGUGCUCUAGUUGAAGAGAUAUUUGAGUUGACUUUCAAUGAAAAUAACAGCGAAGAUGUUGCAACACAUUUGAAAGAAGUUACUAUAGGAAGAUUGUCGAAGCUGAAAAAGAUAUGGAGUGGAGAUCCUCAAGGAAUUCUUAUAAAUUGGAAUAUUGUGCAAACUUGGAGUAUCUAUUACCACUCUCUGUAGCCACUCGUUGCUCACAUCUCAAGGAACUUAGUAUAAAAUGGUGUGAGAACAUGAAGCAAAUUGUUGGAGAGGAGAAAGAAUCUAGUGUGAAUGAAGCUCCCAUAUUUGAGUUUAAUCAGCUAAGUACUUUAUUGCUUUGGAAAUUACACAACCUCAAAGGUUUCUAUGCUGGAAAUCAUACUCUAGCAUGCCCAUCUUUGAGGAAUAUUAAUGUUUCCAGAUGUACAAAGUUGAAAUUGUUCAGAACACUAUCUACAACAAGCUCCAAUUUUCGAGAUGACAGACACUCUCUUUUAAUGCAACAACCACUUUUCGUUGCCGAAGAGGUGAUUCCAAACUUGGAGCUGUUGAGGAUGGUACACGCAGAUGCUGACAUGAUAUUUCAAACCCAAAAUUCAAGUGCCCUCUUUAGAAAAAUGACCAUUUUUGGUUUGAGUUGCUAUAACAGUGAAGAACCAAGAUUUCCCUAUUGGUUUCUUGAAAAUGUGCAUACUAUUGAGACACUAUAUGUUGAGUGGAGUUGCUUCAAGACGAUAUUCGAAGAUAAAGGAGAAAUAAGUGAGAGGACUCAUGCACAAAUAAAAAAUUUGACAUUGAAUGAAUUGUUGGAACAAAAUGUGUUUCACAAUGAACCUUAUUAAGUUUUGAUGAUAACAAGGUAUUAAAAAUUGUCAAUUGGU